Molecule: ribosomal RNA, 253 nt
Filed under: uncultured bacterium
Lineage: Bacteria
Description: partial 16S ribosomal RNA
Rfam family: Bacterial small subunit ribosomal RNA
Source: RNAcentral
UACGGAGGGUGCAAGCGUUAUCCGGAUUCACUGGGUUUAAAGGGUGCGUAGGUGGCUUUGUAAGUCAGUGGUGAAAGCCCGGAGCUCAACUCCAGAACUGCCAUUGAUACUGCUUAGCUUGAAUCACGUCGAGGUGGAUGGAAUAAUACAUGUAGCGGUGAAAUGCUUAGAUAUGUAUUAGAACACCGAUUGCGAAGGCAGUUCACUAGGCGUGUAUUGACACUGAGGCACGAAAGCGUGGGGAUCAAACAGG